This 600-nucleotide ribosomal RNA is filed under the name Arthrobacter sp. LG12. RNAcentral describes it as "partial 16S ribosomal RNA". It matches the Rfam family "Bacterial small subunit ribosomal RNA", at positions 154 to 766 of the family's 1533-position model. The record is from RNAcentral. Lineage: Bacteria; Bacillati; Actinomycetota; Actinomycetes; Micrococcales; Micrococcaceae.
AAAGUGGGUAUAAUACCGGAUAUGACUCCUCAUCGCGUGGGGGGGGGGGGAAAGUUUUAUUGGGGUUUUGGAUGCACUCGCGCUCUAUCAUUUUGUUGGAGAGGAAGUGUUUUACCAGGGACACCACGGAUACCCGCUCUGAGAGGGAGACCGCCCACUCUGAGACUGACACACGCCCCACACUCCUACGGGAGGCAGCAGGGGAGAAUAUUGCACAGGGGGCGAAACUCUGAUGCAGACACCCCGCGAGAGGGAUGACGCUCUUCGGGGUGAAAACCUCUUUCAAUAGGAAAAAAGAAAAAGAGACGGCCCCUGCAAAAAAAGCCCCGUAUAUCUACGUGCCAACACCCGGGAAAAUACAUAGGGCGCAAGCGAUAUCCGAAAUUAUUGGGCGUAAAGAUCUCAUAGGGGGUUUGUCGCGUCUGCCGAGAAAGCCCGGGGCUCAUCUCCAGAUCUGCGGUGGACACGGACACACUAGAGUGAUGUAGGGGAGACUGAAAUUCCUGGUGUAGCGGAGAAAUGCGCAUAUAUCAAGAAGAACACCUAUGGAGAAGGCAGGUCUCUGGGUAUUAUCUGACUCUGAAGAGAGAAAGCAUGGAG